CAAGGCGGUGGUGCUCGGCGUCGUGUACGCCUCGGCGAUCGGCGGGAUCGCCACGCUGACGGGCACGGGCGUGAACAUCAUCCUGGUGGGGAUGUGGUCCACCUACUUCCCGGAGCAGCGCCCCAUCACCUUCAGCUCCUGGAUGUCCUUCGGGCUCCCCAUUUCACUGGUCCUGUUCGUGGCGCUCUGGGCCACGCUCUGCCUGAUGUACUGCUCCAAGAACACCGGGAGGGCGCUCUCCGCAUACCUCGACAGGAGCCACCUCAGAAGGGAGCUCGGCUUGCUGGGUAGGUUCUGCCUCCUUGCUUCCGUUGACUGUCGAGAGGAAUGGCAAGCAUGUUCAUUAAUGAUCUGACCAAUGCCGAAUGCGCAGCCUGGAAUAUUCUGAAAUAUAGACACGUUUUAGUUUUGGUUAUUUCUUUGACAGUUACUGAAGCCUUAUUGUAGUACUGAUUAUUGCCAUCGGAUUUUCUGACGGGGUCUC
RNAcentral lists this long non-coding RNA (484 nucleotides) under Setaria italica (foxtail millet). RNAcentral describes it as "long non-coding RNA (SITA_LNC001463)". The record is from RNAcentral. Lineage: Eukaryota; Viridiplantae; Streptophyta; Magnoliopsida; Poales; Poaceae.